This 1398-nucleotide long non-coding RNA is filed under the name Gallus gallus (chicken). RNAcentral describes it as "lncRNA (ENSGALG00010000692.1)". Lineage: Eukaryota; Metazoa; Chordata; Aves; Galliformes; Phasianidae. The record is from RNAcentral.
CACGUGGCGCUCGGAGCUCCCUCCCGCCGCUCCCUUCCCUUUAUAGCUUCGUGUCCCCGCCCACUCCUCCCGCCGGGGCGCGCUGAUUGGCUCGGCGCCGGAAGGGGCGGGGCAAAAGGCGGAAGGAACUAAUGGGGGGGCGGGUUUGGGGGGGUCCCUCGCUGGGAGCACUAUAGGGGCGGCGGCGGCGCCUAUGGACGGGUGAGGGACCUCAUAGGAACCCCAUAAAGGCCCUCAGCCAUUAACAGGGACCCUAUAGGAAUCCCCACCGGGUUCUUUUCGCUUAUGAGGACCCUAUAGGAUCCUCACAGGGGUGCUCACUCACCCCCAUUCCCCUAUGGGAACCCUAUAAGGACCCCCAGUGGCCUUUAUUCCCUUAUAGUGACCCUAUAGAAACCCCAUAGGGGCCCUCACUGACACCCAUUCCCCUCUGGGAACCCCAUAGAGACCCCCAGUGGCCUUUAUUCCCCUAUAGGGGCCCUAUAGAAACCCCAUAGGGGCCUUCACAGACCCCCAUUCUCCCAUAGGAACCCCAUAAGGACUCCCAAAGUGGCCUUUAUUCCCUUAUAGUGACCCUAUAGAAACCUCAUAGGGGCCUUCACAGACCCCCAUUCUCCCAUAGGAACCCCAUAAGGGCCGAAAUGGCCUUUAUUCCCUUAUAGUGACCCUAUAGAAACCCCAUAGGGGCCCUUAUUGACCCCCCUUCUCCUAUAGGAACUCUAUAGGACCCCCAUAAGGACCCCCAGUGGCCUUCAGUCCCCUAUAGGGACCCCAUAGGGGCCAUCAGACCCCAAGAAGCCCUAUAGAAACCCCACAGGGGCCCUUAUUGACCCCCAUUCUCCUAUAGGGACUCUAUAGGACCCCCAUAAGGACCCCCAGUGGCCUUCAAUCCCCUAUAGGGACCCCAUAGGGGCCAUCAGACCCCGAGAAGCCCUAUAGAAACCCCAUGGGGACACCCAGCCGCCGUUGUUCUCCUAUAGGGACUCCAUAGAAACCCCAUAGGAGCUCUCAAUCCUAAACAGGAAUCCUAUAGGGAUCCUCAGUGGCCUCAAUUCCCUCAUAGGAACCCUAUAGGUGCCCCCUCCGGGCUCCAUUCCGCUAUAGGGACCCUAUAGGGACCCUCCAGUGACCUUAAUUCUCCUAUAGGAACCCCAUAGAGGCCCCAUAGAGGCCUUCAAUCCCUAACAGGACCCCUAUAGGGCCCCUCGAUUCCUACAAGGGGCCCUACUUGAUCCAAAUCCACGUAUCCCCUAUAGGGGACCCCCCCCAAAAAAGGGAAACCUAUAGGUCCCAGACAGACCCCUUUUCGGGUCCCCUAUUGGAAGUUGUGGGGCCGGGUUUGGCCCAUAGCAAAGGUCAGGGCUAAGAAUAGCUGUGGGGUGGGGGGGGGGGGGGGGG